Molecule: ribosomal RNA, 253 nt
Filed under: uncultured bacterium
Lineage: Bacteria
Description: partial 16S ribosomal RNA
Rfam family: Bacterial small subunit ribosomal RNA
Source: RNAcentral
UACGUAGGGGGCGAGCGUUGUCCGGAUUUAUUGGGCGUAAAGAGCGUGUAGGCGGCUAGGUAGGUCCGUUGUGAAAACUCGAGGCUCAACCUCGAGACGUCGAUGGAAACCAUCUAGCUAGAGUCCGGAAGAGGAGAGUGGAAUUCCUGGUGUAGCGGUGAAAUGCGCAGAUAUCAGGAAGAACACCCGUGGCGAAGGCGGCUCUCUGGUACGUGACUGACGCUGAGACGCGAAAGCGUGGGGAGCGAACAGG